Molecule: unclassified non-coding RNA, 952 nt
Filed under: Hevea brasiliensis (rubber tree)
Lineage: Eukaryota; Viridiplantae; Streptophyta; Magnoliopsida; Malpighiales; Euphorbiaceae
Source: RNAcentral
AGAGAGAGAGAGAGAGAGAGCAAUGGGAGGUUUAUUCUCUGCUCUUAAUGGAGACGCUGCAGCCGCCGGCGAAGAUUCCUCAUCGGCGGAUCAUUCGGCAGUCACAACUUUCCAUUCCUCUGAGCGAUGGCAGCUCCAUUUCAAUUCCAUGAAAGAGUUAUCCCAGCUGGUACAUAUUCUCUCAAUUUAUCUACAUCUACUUAAUUAGAAUUUUAUAUAGGGAUCUGGGUAUGAUAGUAUAUUUGGUUGUGUGUAAAUUUCGAGGGAAGAUGGUCGUAGAUUUUGCUGCAUCGUGGUGUGGACCUUGUAAGUUAAUUGAACCACAAGUUAAAGCCUUGGCUGCCAAGUUCACUGAUGUCCAGUUUGCCAAGAUCGAUGUGGAUGAAUUGCCUGAUGUGGCCCAGGAAUUUGGAGUUCAGGCUAUGCCAACGUUUGUGUUGGUGAAGAAAGGGAAAGAAGUGGAUAGGAUUGUGGGAGCCAAGAAGGAAGAGCUUGAAAAGAAGAUUCAGAAACACAGGGCCACUUGAUGCCUUCCUUCUUAUGUAACGAGCAAUGUAACUUUACUUUGUGUUGCUGCUUCUGCUGCUGCAAAUGUGAUGAUAAAAAAUAAACAAUGAUUUCCCUACUGUUAAACAAUUAUGCACAUCUUUUCUGGUUCCCUUAAUUGCCAAAUGCUUGACACCAAUGAUUUCUUCAUCUCAUCUUUCACUUGGAAACAGCCUUUCUGCUGUUUGCAGAAUAAGGCUGCGUACAUCAACCCGAAAUAAUUCGUGUUCCAGUAAUAGAUAAUUUUUAUUAGUGGGUAUAGAAUUUUGAUUAUGUUGAGAAUGAUUUUGUGAGACAUCAUUCGUUAUUGGAACAUAUUCCAAGUGAAAGAUGCACAUUCGAUAAUGAAAGACACUCAUCCAACUAUUGUGUGAGAUUCGUUGUCAGAUGAGCAUGCUCAUCUGAC